This 355-nucleotide unclassified non-coding RNA is filed under the name soil metagenome. RNAcentral describes it as "partial contains 5.8S ribosomal RNA, internal transcribed spacer 2, and large subunit ribosomal RNA". The stretch from base 1 to 120 matches the Rfam family "5.8S ribosomal RNA", at positions 35 to 154 of the family's 154-position model. The record is from RNAcentral.
GAUGAAGAACGCAGCGAAAUGCGAUAAGUAAUGUGAAUUGCAGAAUUCAGUGAAUCAUCGAAUCUUUGAACGCACAUUGCGCUCAUUAGUAUUCUAGUGGGCAUGCCUGUUCGAGCGUCAUUAAGUCCACUUAAGCCCUGCUUAGUGUUGGGAGACUGCUCCAGCGGUGCUACCCUGUAGCUACCCUGCAGCUCCUCAAAGACAGCGGCGGAGUUGUGGUAUCCUCUGAGCUUAGUAACUUGUUCUAGCUUUCGAGUACAUCACUUCCCCUGCCGUAAAACCCUUAAUUUUUAAUGGUUGACCUCGGAUCAGGUAGGAAUACCCGCUGAACUUAAGCAUAUCAAUAAGCGGAGGA